This is a small nucleolar RNA of Malus domestica (apple), 155 nucleotides long. RefSeq annotates it as small nucleolar RNA snoR2/U65. The record is from RefSeq and is a predicted model, not a curated record. Lineage: Eukaryota; Viridiplantae; Streptophyta; Magnoliopsida; Rosales; Rosaceae.
GGUUCGAUGCCGUGACGACGGUAGCUAAAUAGCCGUGACCCGUAUUGUGCUAUGAUUGAACCGAGAGCGAGGAUCUUCUGUUUCGCAUUCUGAUAGGAACCUGUGGAUCCUAAUUUUUUACUGGUCCACGGAGCCGUUUUACUGCGAUUACAUUU